Molecule: long non-coding RNA, 1190 nt
Organism: Bos taurus (domestic cattle)
Lineage: Eukaryota; Metazoa; Chordata; Mammalia; Artiodactyla; Bovidae
Source: Ensembl
GCAGACAGGAAGUUUGGAUGUACACAUGCAGCCUAUUCUUGUUCCCCCACCCAAAACCCCAGCGCCCAAAGCCUGAAACUGGGGGAAGGGAGGCAGAAGGAGAGGAGGGUUUGGGUUGGGGGGAAUUUUAAACUGACUCCGAGUCUGGCCGCCUUGGUUCCCUCGGAGAUUGGAAACCUUUUUCUUCCCUCGAGUGUUUCACCCCCACCGGCUGCAAAGGGCCUUGUCCCUUGAGAAAUGAGAAAUCAAAUCCAGAGAAAAGCAGACACCUGCCCCGGAAGGGGGAGGGGGCGAGCUUUUCAGCAUCCGGACGCGGCCCUUCCCGGCGGCUGGAUCCAUCCAUCUGUGGGAGCUCCGAGUUGUCCCAGCCGAGCGGUUGGGGAGGAGGACAGCCGGCGGCCGGGGCCGGGCAAAGUUACGGGAUUCCUAGCAGCCCCCAGGCGCGCGGCCAGAGUGGCUCCGCGCUUGCGCGAGAACCCAGCGCCAGAAGCUAACGGAAAAAGUUGCAUCCAAAAGCUCAAGGAACACGGAAAGCGCUCACGCAGUCGAAGCCGCCCUUGGUGCCUCCCUGCCCCUUACCCAGAGGCCGAACACCCCCUUGACAGCGCUCCUUGUCACAAAGAGAAGGUCUACUCGAUCCAGACCGCUGCGCUGUUAGAACAGGCAACUCCUCCGCUCCUGAACAAGUAGUCUCUUACAAAACCGAGGCGCCGGUGGAGCCUGCCUUUAAUGGGGUCCUCACUCCGAGGUGCUGGAAGACCAUCCGGUCUGGAACCUAAAAGGAGGAGAUCUGGCGCUAGCGGGGUGGGGAGAGGCGAAUAAAAGCACCUUUGGGGAGGCAAAAGUGUCACACCUGGAGCAAGAAGCACAUGGGCACUGAAAUUCUAAUAGUUGGGGAAAGGAGACUUCAACGUGUGUGUGUGUGAGGGGGGGUGUAGCCUGACUUCUGGCUCUAGGUAUGAGACGUUGGGGUGUAUGUGUGUAUGUGUGUCCCAAGGUGAAUAAAAGUCGGACUCCCCCUGGAUUGUGGGGACUCAGCCUUUCUCUUCCUCUUUCUUCACUCCUUCUCCCGCCCUAUUGGGAGGAGAAGGUGGACCGACACCCCGCCCCCCCACCGCCACCCAAGUCUUGCAAGUGGCUGUGGUCGACAGAGGGCCGGGGCGCCCCCGCCCCCCGCCACUUCUCCGCCC